This 283-nucleotide long non-coding RNA is filed under the name Coffea arabica (coffee). RNAcentral describes it as "long non-coding RNA (CARA_LNC005900)". The record is from RNAcentral. Lineage: Eukaryota; Viridiplantae; Streptophyta; Magnoliopsida; Gentianales; Rubiaceae.
UAAGAGGCACUACAUGACUAUUCGCAUGGCCAUUCCCGUCAGCUGCCGGAACUCCAUUUUCGUUUUCCAUCCUUGCAAAAUAAUAGUACUUUUCGGGUUAGAAAUUAAAUCAUUAUCCAAUUCGGAUGUCGUUUAUGCAUGCCUAACCCAAUCACUAGUAUGCCCUAAAUACCUCUUAAGGUAUAACUUAAUUAUCCGGUUUCAGGUCUUAAAGGUAGAGUAUCUAAUAGGUCUCCCAUAUAGAUCUCUAACCUAGCGCUCUGAUACCAACUAUGACGCCCCC